This is a long non-coding RNA of Tympanuchus pallidicinctus (lesser prairie-chicken), 2384 nucleotides long. RefSeq lists it as uncharacterized. NCBI's taxonomy places the organism in Eukaryota, Metazoa, Chordata, Aves, Galliformes, Phasianidae. The transcript has 3 exons. The record is from RefSeq and is a predicted model, not a curated record.
CAGAGCUGAGCAGAACUUCCCAAGCAAACAGCCUUGCUCCACGGCACCGUUGUUUCCUGAGCUUUGGGAUUCACUCCUUUGCUGAAUGUCUGAUCCUGGGACUUGUUUGGAACUCCUCUUCCACUGUGCAGCCUCCUACUUGGGAUCUGUUCAUCUACAUACAGUGCUCUGCAGAGAAAAGGCUCUUUCCUGAUAACACCCUGAUGAACAUCCGUUUAGGCAAAGCCUGAAUCAUGGCAUCCUCUCAGCACCUCGCAGCAGGGCAACACAGUGACAUGAGAAGGCUGCAGCCUCACCUCACCGUGCUGCUUCAUGAGAUUCCCAGCAACGUUAACCUUUACCAUAACUGGGCACACUUACCAUGUUUUCACUUGAAUGAAACCAAAGUCUCUGAAGAGAAAGAACUCAGGGAAGAGCUCACACCACCCAGCGCCUCUUUGUCUCUAGAACCAUCCCAGUGGUUCCCAUCAGCCCAGCCUGCUGAUGCCUGCAAGCUGCUGGAGUACUUCCCUCUCAGGUGCUCCAUAUAUGAAUGACUGCAAGCUCCAGCUUCACCUUCCUUUCCUUCUCUGCUUGUGCAUUCCACACCCUGCACAGAGGCUGGGUGAAAUCAAGCUCACUUAAGAGGCUCCCUUGAAUAUCCACUGCUUCCUUCAGAGUUUUGUUUUCCCCACCUGUUCCUCUGUUUCUACUUCUUAUAUUCCUCCCGUCUUCAGCACAAGAGCCUCGCAGUUUGAUAACAUUAUCUUGUUAAUUCAUCCAAUUGAAGCUUCAGGAAUGCUUAAAUAACUUUGGAGUUAUUAAAUAGAUUCACAGAAUUCUAAAUACUCUUUCAGACACAGAGGAAAUAAAGUUCUUCCCAGAAGAGAAACUUCUUGGAGUAAUUCUAUUGCAGCAAAACAUGGGAAGGUUUUUUUAAUGCUGAGUCCCACCACAAAAGGCUGGCAACGAUAAUGGGACAUCCUGCAGCACUUAGAGAGAGCUUGUCUCAGGAAUAGCAGUUUUGAACCAAAUCCUGCUCACACAGCACCAUGAGAAACACGCUUUUACUAUGAUUGCAGUCAAAAACCAAGGUUCUGCAUCUGCACCAUUAAGCGAAGCCAUGGUCAAGAAGAAACUGAAAGGAAAAAAUAUAAAAGUUUUCUUCUUUUCUCUUAUCUGGAAAGCCAUAGCAAUUUAAUUUUUGUUCUGGAAAACUUGAGAAGUCAGUUCAUGUGACAUAUCUACAACACAAUCCACAACCACCAAGCAUUCAAAUAAAAUACCACAGUGCAGUGAACAGCCGUGACACUUCUUUCAAAUAUCUACCAUCUAACAGCAAAUGCCAAGUAUACUGCUUUGUAAAAUAAUAGGGAACAUAAAAUGGAAAGAGAAAACUGAACUCAGGAAAAGGAACAGAUAAAAAUCCUGCUUUUGAGAAUGAAGCCAAGUAAUAACAUCCCACCCUGGCCCCCGUACAGGAUCGGGAGAGGUUGCUUCCCUUGGCAAACUGAGAAAUCACACUUCUUCCAGCUUCUAGUUACACUCUAAACAAUGAGUGCUUUGGGGCAGACUUUGUUUUUGAGAGCUCAGAUCAGCUAUCCUGACACUGGAUUUACAUACAACCCACUGGUGAACAAGAACUGACCCUUAAUGGAUUUGGGGAACGUGUCCCUCGGAGUCCUUCCACGCACUGUUAAUAACUGCAAUUUUGGAUGACUUUUCUCCACUGCAUGAGAGUGUUUACAUCACUAAAAAAGAGAAGAAACAAACAAUUAGUGGUUUUAUAAGUCUUACCAUGAUUUUUCUAGGAAAUAAGAAAGCAAACAGAUUCAUCAGAGGUGAGCAGGGCCAAACAUUCUCACAUCCAACCCCUGCUCUGCUAUGUGACGUGGAGGAGGGCUGCGAUCAGCAAACCUAAAGCAUUCAUGUUUCCUUCUCCCCCUCUUGCAGCCAAGCUGCAGACAGACACAAGGCUCGUCUCAUCCUGGAGCCAGGAUCGUAUUUUUUCUCUUUAAAGAAGGAAGGAACAUUUGCAAUGACAUUUUCUUCUGUGCCAUUAAAUUUCAUAAAAGGUGGCACUGUCCCUGGCCACCCCUCGGCUGGAGGUGUAACUCAGUCACCAAAGGUGCCUCGAUGUGACUCAGGGUGGAGGUAUUUUCCCCCUAGAAUCUACACUUGCAAGUUCUCCCCUUAAAGGCAGCCUGUUACUAUGCCUUGCUCCACUCCUCUCAGAGAGCAGCAAUCAGAUUGUUUGCAGUGCAUUAGCAUACUCGAAUAGAUCUGUCAUGGUUAUUAAAAAUAUUACAGAGGCCAAAUAUUUUGACUGAAAAAGCAAAAGACAUUGCCAGCAUCCCGAGAUCCCUAUCUGCUGUAAGCUUUGUGAUGAACUGGCACAAAAUAAA